This 3612-nucleotide long non-coding RNA is filed under the name Oryza sativa (Asian cultivated rice). Its description in RNAcentral is "long non-coding RNA (OSAT_LNC001338)". The record is from RNAcentral. Lineage: Eukaryota; Viridiplantae; Streptophyta; Magnoliopsida; Poales; Poaceae.
GAAGCUGGUUCAGAAAAUGGUGCGUCUAUGCUCUCCCAGUUCAGGUCAUCUUUGCAAAAAGGCUAGGCUCUUCAUUGAACCAUUCAUCCAAAACGUCUACAUAGCCAUGUCUGAUUGGGUCAGUGACAUCUCUGAGUUUGUAAAGCUUCUUGCAAGACUGUUAACAGUAUAAUUAGUAAAGCAGGACGAGUACUACCAAAAUUCCCAAAUACAUUCCAUCAUCUUUAUAUCUUCAGUUAGCAAGAAUAAAGCCCAUAAAUAAGCAAAAAUUGGAAGUAAUUUUGCAACAGCUAAAAUGUUCUGCCAUACAAAAUUGAGUAAUUGGAUCCCCAUCAGGAGUAGAUCAGAUCAUCAAGAAUUCAUACCAUGAGGUGAGCAGCUAGCAGUACUUGGCAAAACAGCCAAUGUCACGAGGGAAACAGAUGGCUUGAGGACAGCUGGUGACAGACGGGGAUGUGCCAACCUGGUGGCUGGAGGGCUCGACGCCACAGGCACUUCAACCCUCACACAUAGCGGGCUCCUUUUCAAAGUCGAGUGGCUGAUACAGUCCUUGAUCUCUCUAUAUCUCUAUCUAUCUAUAUGUCGGGGUAAAAAGCUUUCAUUAUCUAACAAACAAUCUAUAUGUGGGUGUGAAACGUGCAGAUCGAGGGAAGGAUAAAGUUAUGAACAGAACGAGCUGACAAAAAUGCUUAGCAAACCAGAUAAAGAAGCCCAAAUCCCUCACGAAUAUCAACAAAGGACAGGCAGCCAAAAAGGUGACGGAAAAUUUUCAAGUUUUAAGGUGGCAUGAUAACUAGCGAUUCCCCUAUUAUAUAAAGGACCAAAGAAAUUUGUCUAUUCUUCUAGCAGCAGGUCAUGCAUAGUAGUGACUAGCCACAACAGAGGGGAAUAUAUUAGUAUUAUGAACAGAAUUAAGAUAAGAAUCCUACGAACAAAGAGAAUGCUUUUUUGGCAUAUGAUACUCUGAUUCACAUAAGGCUGUAGGGAGUCACGUGAUAUUACGAUAAUAAUGGCACUGCAGUUUAUUUCACAACCUAUGGAAGUAAAUACCAACUUACAUCGGAAAAUGAUCUUACGGUCAUCAACACUCAACAGUGAGCCACAUAACUCAAUAAUCUAAAAUUGUGGUAAGGAGCUGACUGCCCUUGAGUCGUCAGUUAUAUCUGCUAAACAGAUAAAAAGAAGUAAAAUAUCGAUGCCCAUGAUUUAUGCACAUUAAGAAUGUACAUAACAUUUCUAUUUAAUGUGAAGAAAAAAUGAAGCCUGAAGGCUACUUUUAUUUUUACCAUUUGUACUUUGCCACAAAAUAACCACCAACUUCAGAGCUCAACCCAGGGAGUUGUCUAAGCAAUUCUAGAAUAUGGCUACGCUUGUACUUAUUGCAAUUUAGUUAGAUAAUACACAAGAACAAGCAAAGGAUUUGAUGAUAAGCACACUACAACGCAAAUAUUGCAGCGUAGAUGCAUAUGUUGUGCCAAAGGAAUAGCUAUCAAAGUAAGAAAUUGCUUUAUUGAUUAGGAAAAUUUGAAAAGGGGUUGAGAUUUUCAGUUUCCGGAUUUUACCUCGAGUCAACAGUAAAAGAUCUGCACUAGAAUGUGUAGAGAAACAAAAAUGAAGUCAAUGGAAAAUGAGGUACGUAAAAGGGUUAAAACUUUCAGUUUCAAGUUUUCAGCUUGAUUAAUGCAGCUUGAUGAUUAAUUUACAGUACUUGUACACUUGAACUCUAUUGGCUAUUAAUUGACAGAACCAAAGAGGCUAACAUGCAUAAUAGUCAUAAUGAAUGGCACAGUUGACUUACAACAAAAUCGAUGCAUAUGCAUGUAAUUCAAAUAAGUUUUGUAUACAAGUAACCCAAAUAUAUGUCGAGCAACUCUGAAUUUUGCAGCCUACGUAUAAGUCCAGUUUCAAAAUCCGCAAAUGAAAUUAAUUGACAUGUGUGAUUAAUCAGUAGUACUCCCUCUGUCUUAAAAAAACAAGGCGUCCUUGUUUUCCACAAAGUCAAUAUUUAAAAGUUUUGACUAAUAGUUAAACUAACAAUAUGAAUGUUUAGUGUUAUGCAUGCGACAUCAUUAGAUUCGUAUUUGAAUGUGUUCAGAUGGUGUAAAUGUUAUAGUUUUUAAUAGUAUCUUAUGGAAGAAAUUAAUGGUAUUAUUGAAGAUCGUGUACAAUUAUAAUAUGCCUUGUAUUUUAGAAUAGAGGGAGUAAUUGUUAAUCCCUUUGUAUGGACUAUCAAACGAAAUGAGUGAAGGUGGCAAUUAAUUAAUAGGCAAAUAUUCAGAUACACACAAACACACCUUGUAUAACAAGGAGUAGAAAUAUUCAUAGCGCAGCACUGCAGCAUUACAAUCCUAGGUACAGCAGUUGAUACUAUUGUAAUGCCUGUGCGGCAUUCCAUUUAAUAUUACAAAGAUGACAACACAAUUCAAAGUACAGAAAGAUGACAUGUUCAUAAGCAUAUUGAAAAAUAAAACUUCUAUGCCAAACUUGUAUAGAAUUGUGCUAAAAUUGAUAAAGAACAGAUAUAAGACAACCAACAUGUUGCUCAAAUUAAUUCUAAUCAUUAUUGGCUCUCAGAUGUUGGGCUGCUGAAAAUACAGAUUUUCAGCCUCCUCAACUCAGGCGUUGGACUGCCAGAGAACUGGUCUCCUACCUCCACAACACCAGGGUCAAUUAUCACUGAUUAACUAUAUUCCUCAAUGUGUGAUACAGUAAACAGAAAACAGAGGUAACAGUACACACGUAAAUUGCCUACUGUAGGGUGUCAGAAGUGCAUAAAGGUCUAUUUAAUCAAGCAGUACGGUUGAGCAGAAUGUAUUCAGCUAAACAGACUAAGAAUCAAUGAUACAGGAUAGUAAUACUAUGUGUAAAUACUAGCAAUACUCUACAUUACAUACAGUAUCAAAAGCAAAUCUGAAGCACAAAACUAAAGCAAUUUAUUUAUAGCUGUUACCAGAUCAGAUAAUUAACUAGUAUCACAAGAAGAGCAAAUUUGUCGCUUGGCACAGGAUUAAGGCCACAUAUGCAACUAGAAUUGUCCUUUAAUCUCUAUAGACCCAUAUCGUCAUUGAGCACACAAGAAAGUAAGAUUUCCAAUAGAAUACUCACUGAUGAACAGGCACUCAAAGCCGUUUAGUGUUGCCGCUGUCCCAGAAAUCCAAUUGCCGCCGCUUGUGCCGCAGUCUCACCGGCAAGGAAGACGGAGAAUGUAGCUGCUCACGCCGUCUCCUCCUUCCUCCCAGAGACCAACACCUUCUUUAAGAGCAGGUUGUAGUGCUUGCACCCGUGGGAUGGACACAGACACCAAGAUGCACCAGCACCAUACAAGGUGAUUCCACCGACGACUCCGGCAAACAAGUCGCCGGCGAUCUGCAGAACCAAGGACUAGCGGAGAAAGAGGAGAAGUGGUUGACUCGGGUUUUCGUGCUGAUCGAGAGGUGGCUCAACUGAAGAAGAAAUAGGGAGAGAGAGCUCAGCCUCGCCGGGGAAUCCGCGCAUGAUGCAGCAACCAUCGGCCAGGGCCGUUGGUUGCGCCGCCGCCGCCUCCCUUAUAUGCCACUCUAAAUUAACCGGCUCCCUUAUAUGCCACUUCAAAUUGGCUUAUCCCUUUUAUGC